Callithrix jacchus (white-tufted-ear marmoset) is the source of this 2079-nucleotide long non-coding RNA. The record is from Ensembl. Lineage: Eukaryota; Metazoa; Chordata; Mammalia; Primates; Cebidae.
AUGUAUGUUUAUUUUAGAAAACAUAAAGAUGGGAGGAACUCAAGAUGGCGCUGUGAGAACAAUCCAGGAUUGAAGCUCGCGGUUAAUCCACGGAGAGGCAUGUCAGCCAUGCUCCAAGCAGCCACAGCAAGUAUUCAAGGGAGUCAUUUUCAGGAAUUUCUGAUGCUUUGUUUGAUACUGAAACCAAAGUGGAUCUUUGCAAAACUGAGGGAGAAGUGAAGAGAAAGAUUGCUGUUGCAGCCUUCACAGUGCAGGCAGCUUCGGAGGCUUUGAAAGAAGCAGCCUGAGAGGAAUCUUUAGCGAACCCAUAUAGAAUUUUUGUGGUAUAUCACUCAGAAAGACUCAUCAUGGUAUAUUGAUGAAGUUUAAAUUAGUAUAUUAGAAAUAAAGCUAGACAUUAUAUACAGUCAUGUGAGUGCUUAUAUAUUUACCUGUGUAUAUAUUUUUCUUUUAUUUUCUUGUUAUGGACUAAAAAUAUAAAACAAUUUAUAAUUAGACAAGGUUAUUCUGAAAUGGAAGAAUCAACUCAGUAUUAAAUCGAAGAGGAAUGGGUAAAUAUGGUAAAACUCUCAUCUGGCAUUAUCAGGGAAUCAAGUCUAAUCUGUUCAUGUCACUUCACACAUAGAAAAACAUCAGUAUGUCAUAGAGCACUCUGGGGAACAUGCACACCUGCUCCAAGCCAGAGGCCUCAUGCCCUGCCUAGCCUCCCAGGGCUCAGAGGAUCACUAUCUCAGCACAUGGUUGAGAAACUAAUUAAAUUACACUUUUAGUAAAUGUAAUCACUCUAUAGCAUAAGAAAUAAUUUUUUAUUAAAUGUAUUUUAUUUACAUAAAGCACUAUCAUAUAACACACAAGGAUAGAGAAAAGUAGUAAUGAAAUGAACAUUUGUGAACCUACUAGCUAUAUUAAGAAAAUAAUAUUUUCAAUAUCUUUGGGUCCCCCAUGUAUUCAUAAUGGUUGUGCUUUUUCACUAUCUUGAAUUGUAUCUUUAUUUCCUAUGUUAUUCUUUAUGAUUUUAUCACACAUGGCUAUAUUAUUUACAUGUUUUAUGUUUUUGUUUUAUGUAGUUUGCUAUUUUUUUAUAAAUGAAAUCAUGCCAUGUAUAUUUUUAUGGUACUUAAUUUUUUUCCACAGAUCUUUAAGGGUUUAGACAGAUAGAUAGAUAGCAUUUAUACAAAUGAAAGUAAGAUUCAUGGUCUAUCAAGACAGAGAAAACAUAUAAUAAUGUGAAUAGGGAAAGUUAAUAUGAAGAAUGACUAAUUAUAAGAGAAUUUGAGCAAUGGAAUAUUGUCUACUAAAAUGUAAGGAGAAGUCUAAAUAAUACGUGAUGAGCACAUAUAAGGAAUUGCCAUUGUUUCCAGGGUGAAGUUUGAGAAGCCAGUGAAGAAUCCCCUCAUACCUUGGCCUCACUGAAUGUUAACAAGUUGCUGUGGUGUUGCACGUGAAAAUUUUGGUUUAAAUCCACACUUCAGGACUCCCUGGAAACUUGCCUUCUGGGCCACUUGUAAAGCUGUUUAGGAAGAAAUGUCAUCUCAGAGGGGCUCCACUGCAAGUUUGAAAAAAGGCCAGUAUCAGAAGAAGCUCUUGGCUGCUGAGUUCUCCUGGCCACCAUGAAUUUGAAGAAGUGAGUGCUAUAGCAGCAGCCUUAACUACAGAAUCUGGUAACUGGUGUACCCCUGCAUACCAUCUGGCCCAGAUACAGGAGAUGUCAUUUCCAAAGCAGAUUGGAAGCACAUUUUUGGAAUUUCUCUCCAAUGUCUUCUACUCACAAAGAUUGACAUCUUAACACUUGGGAAAGAAAAAAAAUAUUUAAAGGAUCCAGAUCUAUUAAUGUAAAUAAUCAUGAGUGAGUUUGUAGUGGAUAACCCAAAGUUGGGUAAGUGGUGCAUAAUAAAUUUAUUCAUUUUCUGAUGAUGUACAUUGGAUUUCUUUUUAUAUUUUGGUUUUGUGAGCAUGUCUGCUCAUGCAAAUAUUCAAGAGAUUCUCUUUCCUGACAGCAUCUUCGGGUAGAUGGAAUAUCUGGGUUAUAAAUUGGUGGAUUGUCAAUUCUACUGAGCAAUGCCACUUACUGUUUUAAGG